UACGGGGGGGGCAAGCGUUGUUCGGAAUUACUGGGCGUAAAGGGCGUGUAGGUGGCCAACUAAGUCCGACGUGAAAUCCCCAGGCUUAACCUGGGAACUGCGUCGGAUACUGGAUGGCUUGAAUUCGGGAGAGGGAUGCAGAAUUCCAGGUGUAGCGGUGAAAUGCGUAGAUAUCUGGAGGAACACCGGUGGCGAAGGCGGGUCUCUGGGCCGAUACUGACGCUGAGGAGCGAAAGCGUGGGGAGCGAACAGG
Molecule: ribosomal RNA, 253 nt
Filed under: uncultured bacterium
Lineage: Bacteria
Description: partial 16S ribosomal RNA
Rfam family: Bacterial small subunit ribosomal RNA
Source: RNAcentral